CCAAUAGCGUAUAUUAAAGUUGUUGCAGUUAAAAAGCUCGUAGUUGAAUUUCGAGAUCAGUACGCUGGUCGUGCCUUUGGUAUGCACUGGUGUCACUGGUUUCUCCCUUCUGAAGAACUGUCAUGCCAUUCAGUUGGUGUGGCGGGGAAUCAGGACUGUUACUUUGAAAAAAUUAGAGUGUUUAAAGCAGGCUUGCGCUU
This 200-nucleotide ribosomal RNA is filed under the name uncultured Glomus. RNAcentral's name for it is "partial small subunit ribosomal RNA". It matches the Rfam family "Eukaryotic small subunit ribosomal RNA", at positions 591 to 796 of the family's 1831-position model. The record is from RNAcentral. Lineage: Eukaryota; Fungi; Glomeromycota; Glomeromycetes; Glomerales; Glomeraceae.